AUGUACUCUUAAUGUACACUCCGGUUCCUGCGCUCCACCGCCCCCGCCUGAAAGCCGCUCGCUACGAUUUAUGGCG
Molecule: small RNA, 76 nt
Filed under: Gammaproteobacteria bacterium
Lineage: Bacteria; Pseudomonadati; Pseudomonadota; Gammaproteobacteria
Description: sX9 sRNA
Rfam family: Xanthomonas sRNA sX9
Source: RNAcentral